Molecule: non-coding RNA, 6727 nt
Organism: Salmo salar (Atlantic salmon)
Lineage: Eukaryota; Metazoa; Chordata; Actinopteri; Salmoniformes; Salmonidae
Source: RefSeq, a predicted model, not a curated record
UAAGAGACCCUCGGUCCGGUUCCUCACAACACUCCUCAUAUUUCCAAACACGUUUUCCAUCCAGGUCACAAACCAUUUUCAGCUCCAACUCUUUGACAUCUCUCUCAUAUCUCUAUUACGUUCCUCCUUUCUCCUCUCCAUGUUUAAUGGACAGAUAUUCAGUACAUCAGAGGAUUCCCUACAGUAAACAUGUAAUUCAUCUGUCUGUCCCAAGAGUACAGUACCCGUCUCACCUCUAAGAAUGCUGUCUCACCUCUUCUAAGAAUACUGUCUCACCUCUUCUAAGAAUACUGUCUCACCUCUAAGAAUACUGUCUCACUUCUAAGAAUACUGUCUCACCUCUUCUAAGAAUACUGUCUCACCUCUUCUAAGAAUACUGUCUCACCUCUUCUAAGAAAACUGUCUCACCUCUAAGAAUACUGUCUCACCUCUAAGAAUACUGUCUCUCUUCUAAGAAUACUGUCUCACCUCUAAGAAUACUGUCUCACUUCUAAGAAUACUGUCCCACCACUUCUAAGAAUACUGUCUCACCUCUAAGAAUGCUGUCUCACCUCUUCCAAGAAUGUUGUCUCACUUCAUCUAAGAAUACUGUCUCACCUCUUCUAAGAAUAUUGUCUCACCUCUUCUAAGAAUACUGUCACACCUCUAAGAAUACUGUCUCACCUCAAAGAAUACUGUCCCACCUCUAAGAAUACUGUCCCACCUCUAAGAAUACUGUCUCACCUUUAAGAAUACUGUCUCACCUCUAAGAAUACUGUCUCACCUCUAAGAAUACUGUCUCACCUCUUCUAAGAAUACUGUCUCACCUCUUCUAAGAAUACUGUCUCACCUCUUCUAAGAAUACUGUCUCACCUCUUCUAAGAAUACUGUCUCACAUCUAAGAAUACUGUCUCACCUCUAAGAAUACUGUCUCACCUCUAAGAAUACUGUCUCACCUCUUCUAAGAAAACUGUCCCACCUCUAAGAAUACUGUCUCACCUCAAAGAAUACUGUCUCACCUCUUCUAAGAAAACUGUCCCACCUCUAAGAAUGCUGUCUCACCUCUUCUAAGAAUGCUGUCUCACCUCUUCUAAGAAUACUGUCUCAAAUCUAAGAAUACUGUCUCACCUCUUCUAAGAAUGCUGUCUCACCUCUUCUAAGAAUGCUGUCUCACCUCUUCUAAGAAUGCUGUCUCACCUCUUGUAAGAAAACUGUCUUACCUCUUCUAAGAAUGCUGUCUCACCUCUUCUAAGAAUACUGUCUCACCUCUUCUAAGAAUACUGUCUCACCUCUUCUAAGAAAACUGUCUCACCUCUAAGAAUACUGUCUCACCUCUAAGAAUACUGUCUCACCUCUAAGAAUACUGUCUCUCUUCUAAGAAUACUGUCUCACUUCUAAGAAUACUGUCCCACCUCUUCUAAGAAUACUGUCUCACCUCUAAGAAUGUUGUCUUACCUCUAAGAAUGCUGUCUCACCUCUUCCAAGAAUGUUGUCUCACUUCAUCUAAGAAUACUGUCUCACCUCUUCUAAGAAUAUUGUCUCACCUCUUCUAAGAAUACUGUCACACCUCUAAGAAUACUGUCUCACCUCAAAGAAUACUGUCCCACCUCUAAUACUGUCCCACCUCUAAGAAUACUGUCUCACCUUUAAGAAUACUGUCUCACCUUUAAGAAUACUGUCUCACCUCUAAGAAUACUGUCUCACCUCUUCUAAGAAUACUGUCUCACCUCUUCUAAGAAUACUGUCUCACAUCUAAGAAUGCUGUCUCACCUCUUCUAAGAAUACUGUCUCACCUCUAAGAAUACUGUCUCACCUCUUCUAAGAAAACUGUCCCACCUCUAAGAAUACUGUCUCACCUCUAAGAAUACUGUCUCACCUCUUCUAAGAAAACUGUCCCACCUCUUCUAAGAAUACUGUCUCAAAUCUAAGAAUACUGUCUCACCUCUUCUAACAAUGCUGUCUCACCUCUUCUAACAAUGCUGUCUCACCUCUUCUAAGAAUACUGUCUCACCUCUUCUAAGAAUACUGUCUCACCUCUUCUAAGAAUACUGUCUCACCUCUAAGAAUACUGUCUCACCUCUUCUAAGAAUGCUGUCUCACCUCUUCUAAGAAUGCUGUCUCACCUCCUCUAAGAAUACGGUGUCACCUCUUGUAAGAAAACUGUCUUACCUCUUCUAAGAAUGCUGUCUCACCUCUAAGAAUACUGUCUCACCUCUAAGAAUACUGUCUCACCUCUAAGAAUACUGUCUCACCUCUGAGAAUACUGUCUCACCUCUUCUAAGAAUGCUGUCUCACCUCUUCUAAGAAUACUGUCUCACUUCUAAGAAUACUGUCUCACUUCUAAGAAUACUGUCUCACCUCUAAGAAUACUGUCUCACCUCUUCUAAGAAUGCUGUCUCACCUCUUCUAUUAAUGCUGUUUCACCUCUUCUAAGAAUACUGUCUCACCUCUUCUAAGAAUACUGUCUCACCUCUUCUAAGAAUGCUGUCUCACCUCUUCUAAGAAUACUGUUCCACCUCUUCUAAGUAUACUGUCUCACCUCUAAGAAUACUGUCUCACCUCUAAGAAUACCGUCUCACCUUUAAGAAUACUGUCUCACCUCUAAGAAUACUGUCUCACGUCAAAGAAUACCGUCUCACCUCUUCUAAGAAUACUGUCUCACCUCUAAGAAUACCGUCUCACCUUUAAGAAUACUGUUGCACCCCUAAGAAUACUGUCUCACCUCUUCUAAGAAAACUGUCUCACCUCUCCUAAGAAUACUGUCUCACAUCUAAGAAUGCUGUCUCACCUCUGAGAAUACUGUCUCACCUCUUCUAAGAAUACUGUCUCACCUCUAAGAAUACUGUCUCACCUCUUCUAAGAAUGCUGUCUCACCUCUUCUAAGAAUGCUGUCUCACCUCCUCUAAGAAUACGGUGUCACCUCUUGUAAGAAAACUGUCUUACCUCUUCUAAGAAUGCUGUCUCACCUCUAAGAAUACUGUCUCACCUCUAAGAAUACUGUCUCACCUCUAAGAAUACUGUCUCACCUCUAAGAAUACUGUCUCACCUCUGAGAAUACUGUCUCACCUCUUCUAAGAAUGCUGUCUCACCUCUUCUAAGAAUACUGUCUCACUUCUAAGAAUACUGUCUCACUUCUAAGAAUACUGUCUCACCUCUAAGAAUACUGUCUCACCUCUUCUAAGAAUGCUGUCUCACCUCUUCUAUUAAUGCUGUUUCACCUCUUCUAAGAAUACUGUCUCACCUCUUCUAAGAAUACUGUCUCACCUCUUCUAAGAAUGCUGUCUCACCUCUUCUAAGAAUACUGUUCCACCUCUUCUAAGUAUACUGUCUCACCUCUAAGAAUACUGUCUCACCUCUAAGAAUACCGUCUCACCUUUAAGAAUACUGUCUCACCUCUAAGAAUACUGUCUCACGUCAAAGAAUACCGUCUCACCUCUUCUAAGAAUACUGUCUCACCUCUAAGAAUACCGUCUCACCUUUAAGAAUACUGUUGCACCCCUAAGAAUACUGUCUCACCUCUUCUAAGAAAACUGUCUCACCUCUCCUAAGAAUACUGUCUCACAUCUAAGAAUGCUGUCUCACCUCUGAGAAUACUGUCUCACCUCUUCUAAGAAUGCUGUCUCACCUCUUCUAAGAAUACUGUCUCACCUCUUCUAAGAAUACUGUCUCACCUCUUCUAAGAAUGCUGUCUCACCUCUUCUAAGAAUGCUGUCUCACCUCUUCUAAGAAUACGGUCUCACCUCUUCUAAGAAUACGGUCUCACCUCUUGUAAGAAAACUGUCUUACCUCUUCUAAGAAUGCUGUCUCACCUCUUCUAAGAAUACUGUCUCACCUCUAAGAAUACUGUCUCACCUCUAAGAAUACCGUCUCACCUUUAAGAAUACUGUCUCACCUCUAAGAAUACUGUCUCACGUCUAAGAAUACCGUCUCACCUCUUCUAAGAAUACUGUCUCACCUCUAAGAAUACCGUCUCACCUUUAAGAAUACUGUUGCACCUCUAAGAAUACUGUCUCACCUCUUCUAAGAAAACUGUCUCACCUCUCCUAAGAAUACUGUCUCACAUCUAAGAAUGCUGUCUCACCUCUGAGAAUACUGUCUCACCUCUUCUAAGAAUGCUGUCUCACCUCUUCUAAGAAUACUGUCUCACCUCUUCUAAGAAUACUGUCUCACCUCUUCUAAGAAUGCUGUCUCACCUCUUCUAAGAAUGCUGUCUCACCUCUUCUAAGAAUACGGUCUCACCUCUUCUAAGAAUACGGUCUCACCUCUUGUAAGAAAACUGUCUUACCUCUUCUAAGAAUGCUGUCUCACCUCUUCUAAGAAUACUGUCUCACCUCUUCUAAGAAUACUGUCUCACCUCUUCUAAGAAUACUGUCUCACCUCUAAGAAUACUGUCUCACCUCUUCUAAGAAUGCUGUCUCACCUCCUCUAAGAAUACGGUCUCACCUCUUCUAAGAAAACUGUCUUACCUCUUCUAAGAAUGCUGUCUCACCUCUUCUAAGAAUACUGUCUCACCUCUUCUAAGAAUACUGUCUCACCUCUAAGAAUACUGUCUCACCUCUGAGAAUACUGUCUCACCUCUUCUAAGAAUGCUGUCUCACCUCUUCUAAGAAUACUGUCUCACCUCUUCUAAGAAUACGGUCUCACUUCUAAGAAUACUGUCUCACCUCUAAGAAUACUGUCUCACCUCUUCUAAGAAUGCUGUCUCACCUCUUCUAAGAAUACUGUCUCACCUCUUCUAAGAAUACUGUCUCACAUCUAAGAAUGCUGUCUCACCUCUUCUAAGAAUACUGUCUCACCUCUAAGAAUACUGUCUCACCUCUUCUAAGAAAACUGUCCCACCUCUAAGAAUGCUGUCUCACCUCUUCUAAUAAUGCUGUUUCACCUCUUCUAAUAAUGCUGUUUCACCUCUUCUAAGAAUACUGUCUCACCUCUAAGAAUGCUGUCUCACCUCUAAGAAUGCUGUCUCACCUCUUCUAAGAAUGCUGUCUCACCUCUUCUAAGAAUGCUGUCUCACCUCUUCUGAGAAUACUGUCUCACCUCUAAGAAUACUGUCUCACCUCUAAGAAUACUGUCUCACCUCUUCUAAGAAAACUGUCUCACCUCUUCUAAGAAUACUGUCUCACAUCUAAGAAUGCUGUCUCACCUCUUCUAAGAAUACUGUCCCACCUCUAAGAAUACUGUCUCACCUCUUCUAAGAAUGCUGUCUCACCUCUUCUAAGAAUACUGUCUCACCUCUUCUAAGAAUGCUGUCUCACCUCUUCUAAGAAUGCUGUCUCACCUCUUCUAAGAAUACUGUUCCACCUCUUCUAAGUAUACUGUCUCACCUCUAAGAAUACUGUCUCACCUCUAAGAAUACCGUCUCACCUUUAAGAAUACUGUCUCACCUCUAAGAAUACUGUCUCACGUCCAAGAAUACUGUCACACCUCUAAGAAUACCGUCUCACCUUUAAGAAUACUGUCUCACCUCUAAGAAUACUGUCUCACCUCAAACAAUACUGUCCCACCUCUAACAAUACUGUCUCACCUCGAGGAAUACUGCCUCACCUCGAGGAAUACUGCCUCACCUCUAAGAAUACCGUCUCACCUCUUCUAAGAAUACUGUCUCACCUCUUCUAAGAAUACUGUCACACCUCUAAGAAUACUGUCUCACCUCUAAGAAUACUGUCUCACCUCUAAGAAUACUGUCUCACCUCUAAGAAUACCGUCUCACGUCUUCUAAGAAUACUGUCUCACCUCUAAGAAUACUGUCUCACCUCUAAGAAUACCGUCUCACCUCUUCUAAGAAUACCGUCUCACCUCUUCUAAGAAUACUGUCUCACCUCUAAGAAUACUGUCUCACCUUUUCUAAGAAUACUGUCUCACCUCUUCUAAGAAUACUAUCUCACCUCUUCUAAGAAUACUGUCUCACCUCUUCUAAGAAUGCCUGUCUGACCUGUCCUCUCAGUCUGUUGUUCCACUGGGACAUUGACCUUUCUAUACAAAGAGGUCUGAUCUUAAAACAUAAUUAAUUUGGUUGGUGCUUAUAUUUGUCCUAUUUUCACACAAGUGUGUAUUAAGAUGCAUUUGUGAAUAGUAAAUGUGUUUUUUUGCUUGUCCCAACUCUCCCUCAGACAGUUAGGUCACGGCUAACCAUUAUCAACGGCAACCCUGGAGCAAUUAGGAUUAAGUGCCUUGCUCAAGAUCACUAGAAAGAAGAGAAAUAAUGGUGUUCAAUAUAUACUCCAAAAAUGAGGAGUUUCAACAAGGGUUCUUCUAAGAUCCUCAAAGUUCUUUGAAGAACAUUAGGGUUCUGGGCACUGAAAAAUGCCCCAAAAAGGUACUUUGAAGAACCCCAUAGGAGGUGGGGUUCAUCGAGGAACCUCCUGCAAGAACCCACAAGAACUAACUGCCCAACUGAAAAAUGUGGAUUUGAAUUUGAAAAACAGCUGGUGCAAGCAUUUAACUGACCAUUUUUAAGCUCUCCUCAAUUUCAGGUAUUCUGACGAGGAGGCACACAAAGGAUUCAAUCACAGCAGCCAUCUUGCUCCUCACUGAGCUCUUCGAUGAAGGUCCCAGAGGACUCUACAUUAUCGACAAGACUUCACCCUCCCUACACUGUAAAACCCUUCUGCCUAUGGAUACGAAGGAUAUCAACACAUUAACACGCCAGAGGAUAUACUGAUUGAACUUGGAGCUCUGCUGGGAGUUGACCUCAUAUUUAGAUUUUUGAAUUCUGCUUUGCCACAAAUCAUAAUAAACACUGACAACU